Molecule: ribosomal RNA, 508 nt
Filed under: uncultured bacterium
Lineage: Bacteria
Description: partial 16S ribosomal RNA
Rfam family: Bacterial small subunit ribosomal RNA
Source: RNAcentral
GACGAACGCUGGCGGCGUGCCUAAUACAUGCAAGUCGAACGCUUCUUUCCUCCCGAGUGCUUGCACUCAAUUGGAAAGAGGAGUGGCGGACGGGUGAGUAACACGUGGGUAACCUACCCAUCAGAGGGGGAUAACACUUGGAAACAGGUGCUAAUACCGCAUAACAGUUUAUGCCGCAUGGCAUAAGAGUGAAAGGCGCUUUCGGGUGUCGCUGAUGGAUGGACCCGCGGUGCAUUAGCUAGUUGGUGAGGUAACGGCUCACCAAGGCCACGAUGCAUAGCCGACCUGAGAGGGUGAUCGGCCACACUGGGACUGAGACACGGCCCAGACUCCUACGGGAGGCAGCAGUAGGGAAUCUUCGGCAAUGGACGAAAGUCUGACCGAGCAACGCCGCGUGAGUGAAGAAGGUUUUCGGAUCGUAAAACUCUGUUGUUAGGGAAGAACAAGGACGUUAGUAACUGAACGUCCCCUGACGGUAUCUAACCAGAAAGCCACGGCUAACUACGUG